GAACCGCUGUGAUGACUCCGGAAAAUUCAAGCUCAACAGACCAGAUUGAAGUUCUCGAUCUUUUUAGAUCCUGAAAUUCAUGUCGACCACCCCGCUGACCUGAGCGUUC
This is a small nucleolar RNA of Nymphaea colorata (pocket water lily), 109 nucleotides long. RefSeq annotates it as small nucleolar RNA Z107/R87. Lineage: Eukaryota; Viridiplantae; Streptophyta; Magnoliopsida; Nymphaeales; Nymphaeaceae. The record is from RefSeq and is a predicted model, not a curated record. The transcript has a single exon.